GGGCUCAUAGUCUAGUGGUAGGACGUGGCGCUUUCAACGCCAGAACAGGAGUUCGAUUCUCCUUGAGCCCA
This 71-nucleotide transfer RNA is filed under the name Candidatus Aenigmatarchaeota archaeon. RNAcentral's name for it is "tRNA-Glu". It matches the Rfam family "tRNA". From Rfam's summary of the family: Transfer RNA (tRNA) molecules are approximately 80 nucleotides in length. The record is from RNAcentral. Lineage: Archaea; Nanobdellati; Candidatus Aenigmatarchaeota.